CCUGUGACCUGUUCCGUUCCUGCAGCUGCUUUGUGAAGGUCACAACUCAGACUUUCAGAACUACCUGCGAACUCAGACGGGGAACAACACUACGGUCAACAUCAUCAUCUCUACCGUGGACUACCUUCUGAGAGUUCAGGAAUCAAUCAGUGAUUUCUACUGGUACUAUUCGGAAAG
This is a long non-coding RNA of Oncorhynchus tshawytscha (Chinook salmon), 177 nucleotides long. RefSeq lists it as uncharacterized. NCBI's taxonomy places the organism in Eukaryota, Metazoa, Chordata, Actinopteri, Salmoniformes, Salmonidae. The transcript is spliced from 3 exons. The record is from RefSeq and is a predicted model, not a curated record.